Non-coding RNA from Clonorchis sinensis, 46 nucleotides. The record is from Rfam. NCBI's taxonomy places the organism in Eukaryota, Metazoa, Platyhelminthes, Trematoda, Opisthorchiida, Opisthorchiidae.
UCCACGGCCCUUUUCAGGGCCACCACAUUUUGAUCUUAUUCUUCGU